AUAGCAAAUCCAAACUAUAUGGCUAAACACUUAUUUUUUUUUUGUUAUAAAAGUUACCUCUUAUUCUAAGGAAGCAUUACCUCUAUUUCUCUUGUUUUCAAUUUUGACAUGUGAAAAUGAUGUUUAUAUAAUUAUGUUAUAAAAUUAUGUUAUUUCUUUUUUCUGUUAUAUUAUGUGCACAUGAGUGAAAGUCCCGAUGGAAGCCAGAGACAUCAGAUACCCCUGAAGCUGGAGUUACAGAUUACGUUGUGAGGAACACACAUCCUGCAACCUGUCCUGGAUUGCUGUGAACUUUUCAGCAACAUGAAUAUACCAAGUCCCUCUUCUCUCUCAUUGGGAAAGGAAGGACCAACUGAGUGAAAGACCAGGAUGCAUGCUGCUGCUGUGCUCUCUUUUGAUGACACUUGCUAAAAGAAAAUCAGGAAAACUGCAGAGUUCUCAAGUCCUCAACAUAACCAAUGAUUAAUAAAUUAAAAGAGUAGGUAAAAUAGCAAGCACCUGCUUUUUUAUUUAUAGUCAAGAAACUAUUCUAAUAUCAGAAUGGCAAAGUCUAGGCAGAGCUCUUCCAUAACACAGUGAUGAUAUUUAUUGAGCUCACUUGUCAAAAUUUGAGAAAAAUUUGCCAUAUAGCCCCAAAUCACCCCUCAAAAUUGGACUUGUCAGGAGGAUAGGAGAUAACAGGAGGGAGAGAGAGACAAGGCAGAGUAAGAAGAUUGUGAGAUCAGUAAGAUUGCAUUAUACAUCCAUAAAAUUGCUAAAGAACAAAUUUAAUCAAUAAUGUGUCCAGAAAUUUCCUUGAUCAAUUCAGUGUGUUGUCAGAAGGGGCAGCAGCCACAGUGACGUCAGCAGCUAGAUACUUGUUAGAAAAAUAGACUUCUUACUAGAAUCAUCUCACCCAGACCUCUUGAAUCAUGGACUGCAUUUUAACAACACCCCAUGUGAUUCACAAAGCAAAUAACAUUAUGGGAAGUUUGUCUACGUAAAACAACCUGUGUAUAGUAUAAGAGCUUUGCAACAAACUCACAGGGCUACUACUAGAAGGAGGCUAUCCUGCUCAUCACUACACCACCAAUACCACACCUCAAAGGUACUAAUGUAUUUGCUAUAGUGUGGUUAGUAGCCAGAGGCAUUAAAAUGAUACGGAAAGUUAAAGUUGUCUUUUGUUCACUUUUAUUUGUAGUGUGUGUGGCAUGUGA
Peromyscus maniculatus bairdii (prairie deer mouse) is the source of this 1196-nucleotide non-coding RNA. NCBI's taxonomy places the organism in Eukaryota, Metazoa, Chordata, Mammalia, Rodentia, Cricetidae. The record is from RefSeq and is a predicted model, not a curated record.